Loxodonta africana (African savanna elephant) is the source of this 17729-nucleotide long non-coding RNA. RefSeq lists it as uncharacterized. The transcript has 2 exons. The record is from RefSeq and is a predicted model, not a curated record. NCBI's taxonomy places the organism in Eukaryota, Metazoa, Chordata, Mammalia, Proboscidea, Elephantidae.
GCAAGUUCUCCAAGCCUCAGUUUCUUCAUCUUUAAAAUGGUGACGAAAAUAACAGUACUUCCUCUCAUGAAGUCUUUGUAUAGAUUCAAUGAGAUAAUGCUGUGUGAGUCCUUAGCGCAGUGCUGGCGAGUGGCAAACAACCAGUGUCUGCUAUUCUCUCUUGCCCUCCACAAUACCAGUCUAGGGACUACUCUGAAUGAACAGACCUUGGCUCCCAAGCAGUGCUUGGCACUUAACAGAGGCCCAAUACAUAUUUGCUGAAUGAACAAAUUCUUAGGAAUUAAUUCUAUUAUUAUAUUUGUUACAUAAAGUGCCUAGAAUAUUGCCUUGGACAUUGGUGUAUCUUAAUUAAUGAGUGUGGCAGGGUAAAAGACAAGCUUUAUCCAUUGCCCAGGUUCAGGUUAACAGUGCGAGAGUCUAGGGAAAGAGUCUCAGGGAUGCCAACAGGGGUGUGAACUGCUGAGGAAAGGGGCGGCCUCCUCUGGAGAAAGGAAGGAGGUUCCUGAUACAGCAUCUCUUAGACAAAGGGUCCUGGCCUGCCCCGCCCUUUCCCUCCUUCCCUCCCUUAGCAGCCCCACAUCAUCAAGCAGCUCUGGUAUUCAAGCUAUGUAGUCAUGCUGGGACAAGAGCCAAGCCUGUAGAGUACCUUCCAGUGGGUGGAGAGAUACAAGGGAAUGCUUUCUAAUUACCAUAACAGCACAUUUGAUGCCCUUGCCCUCGUUGGGGCUCAUUAUCAUACUAUUGUCAACAAGUCCUCAUCCCUACAGAUUCUCCAAAGAAAUAUUUCCAGGCCCUCUAGGGUCUUAUUUAUUCAUAAGGGCAAGGAGAAAGGCAGGACUGGCCAUUCAACAAAAACGCCACUUAACCACAGCCUGGAGUUUAUUUUAGGAUCUGGCUGGUGGCUGGCUUUGCUUCUGACAAGCUGCUGCGCUCUCUGCAGCAGGAAGUUUUAUUUAUAGACAGGGUAAGGCUGUUUGGGCUGAGGAUUUUAUAACAGGAGGGGCUGCCUGUCUGGGGACCUGCACAUUUCUGCAGAAGGUCUAGGAGUGCCAGAUUAAGUGCCUGAGAAAGGGCGGGAUGGGGAGGGGCGCCCAGCUCCUACUGUCAGCCCUGGAUGUCACACAGGCAGUGAAAAAGCCAGCAGGGGUAGUCUCAUCAUGACAGCGGUGAUUAUGAUGACAAAGACUCUUGAGGAGUGCUUACUCCUGGUCAGAUGAGUCGGUAAGGGUUUCGCAUGAAUCACAUCAUUUAAUCUGCCCCAAGUGUCGUUAUGUUCCUUCUUACGGUGAUGAAGAAACUCAGGCUCAGAGGGUAAGUCAUGUACUUUAAUACACAGCUGGUAAGAGGUAGUACAUGCUCUCUGAACAAAUGUGGAGGAUUCUGGGAAUGUGACAGGCUCUAACUACACAGCCCCACAGCCCUGCAAGGCACUGACCUACUAACUCCGCUCGCUCCCUCUUUCAGAGAUUUCCUUAGCUGAAUGUUUUGUGAGCCUUAGCAGCAUUACGAAAUGCUUGCUUGAUACACGACCCUGGGGUGCAGAGAGCAGGGCGUUAACCAGGGUGCUCCAUGGACAGGCAAGGAAAAGACUUCACCUUGUGUUCUUUUGAAAAUACACCCUUGAAAGAACUACCACGAGCCUUCUGACAGAGGCUGAUGCCCUUAUAGUCAGUAUGUUGCCAUUCAUUAAAGAGCAAAGUCACCAGAAGCUGGCCAGGCACCACCAUGUUUCAUUGACACUUUUUCUGUAUUAUAGUCUUGGAAUGGAAAAUGACUAGGGAUGGGUCCUGUGUUGUGUUGGCAAGAAAGUAGGACAGCAGAUUUUUAAAUGAAAAAAUUCUGAUUCAUCAAUGUAACAGACAUUCCAUUUAAUCCUCGUGAUUAUCAGGAAGAUGGCGGUGGGUGGGGUGGGAUGGUUCUGGGGAGGUGCCAGAGAAGGCAGUUGACUGCCAGCAGCUGAGGGCUAGAGGGACAGGCUAAAGGACCUUGACCCAAACGGCUACUCUACAGUGGCUUGAGCUCCAAACUUUGGAGAACUUUCAACUCUAAAUUACAGGAAAAUGUGAUCAUUUAAAUGAAUGGCCUUACUGUCGUGGCGACGUGUUUGGGAAGUACAGAAGUUGCCAAAGAUCGGUCAUUACUGCAUAAUCUUGGCUCAAGCAAGGCUCAUGACUUCAGUGUUUUUGGACACUACUUGGCAAAACAGAUACACUCGUGGACAGCUGGUUUUCAGGUUUAAAUUUUUAUCCAUCAUUUUGUGAGAAAAUGCACUCAUGGGGAACAGCUUUUCUAGUGUGGUUUGGGCUCUUUUCUGCUAAGGAGGAUCACUGGGAAGCACUGCUCAACACUGGGCCUGUGUGCAGAGCAUGCUCCUUUCAACCAAGAGCUGCAGUGCCAACAUUAACGUGGCUCCUCGCUUAUUGAUUCUGGCAGGAAGUCAAGGUUUUAGCUGCUGCCCAAUAUCCCACACAAUAUCUUGGAGAGGAUUCUCCUGAAGAGAAACACGUGUCAUUUGGUCCUUACAGAGAUGGCACAAGAUCAGUUCUAGGUCACCAGGGAGGGUUCUUGAUAAUACUCAUUGUUCCUCAAUCUGGCAAGCUAGACGGGAGACUUCUGGCUUAGUCCUCUCUCUCCGUCCUGGUCCCAAUUAACUAUCCUUUGGGUCUACCUUGAGCCAGGAGGCAACUUCCUUCUUUGAUGCUCUUGUGUUAAUUUAUAAGAAUAACUAUAUUUUACAUAAGGUUAAAAGGUGAGUUUCCAAAGCAGAGUGGUAGAAUCUGGGGCUGAUGCGGGAGCACUUGCACCUGAGAUCUCACAGGCUGUUGUCUCUUUGCACCUGGCAAGGAGAGGCACUUCUGUGGGUUAUAUUGUAUGCACGAUGAGCUAUCAUAAAUCUCAUCAAAGGAAGCCAACAUCAGCAACAUGUUUAGUGCAAAAAAUGUCCUCUCCCUUUUUUAAUAAACUUCUCGGUGGAGGUUAUUUUUGAAAAUUCUAAGAACAAAGGAUAUAAAAGAACAAAACUGUUUUGCUCAGGAGACUUUUAGGUAGCAAGAUGGGUACAUGUAGAAAUAAAUGCAUUCAGCUUCUUUUCCUGUGACGUAUUUUUGCAUCCUGAAUCAUAAGAUGGAAACCCUGGUAUCAUAGUGGUUAAGAGCUAUGGCUACUAACCAAAAGGUCGGCAGUUCGAGUCCACCAGGCGCUCCUUGGAAACCAUAUGGAGCAGUUCUACUCUGUCCUAUAGGGUUGCUAUGAGUCAGAACCGACUUGACGGCAACGUUUUUUUUUUUUUUUACGGGGAAUCAUAAGAUCUUCUUUGAAAACACUACAUUUUUGGCCCGAGGCUCCACAGCUAGUUACGCUCUUGCAAAAAUCACAUUUUAGGAUGCUCUGUGUAUUCACCAGGAGCCCUGGUGGUGCAGUGGUUAAGCACUUGGCAGCUACCCCAAAGGCUGGCUGUUCAAACCCACUAGCCGCUCCGUGGGAGAAAGCUGUGGCGGUCUGCUUCUGCAAAGAUUACAGCCUUGGAAACUCUAUAGGGCAGUUCUACCCUGUCCUUUAGGGUUGCUAGGAGUUGGAAUCCACUUGACAGCAGUAGGUUUGGUUUUGGUUUUUGUGUAUUCACUAAAUGCUGACCUUAAUAGCAUCAACUCUUUUAGAAAAAGAUUUAGUACACAUUCAAAAGUGAUUCAAAUUCAGCUCUAAAAACCUGAUGGAACUAUUUUUCCUCAGUUUGGAUUUAAACAUCAUGACAGGGGCUCUAAUUCAUACUUAUUCUUAGAACUCUAUUUAGAGUGUAGCUACACUCCAUGAUGCUUCAGAAGACAAAGGACAAAAACAUGCCUCUUAGUAUCCAGCCUAUGGAUUCUUUUUAUUUAGCCUUACUAAAAAAAGGUCUCAAUAUUUAUUUGGUGAUUAAGCAGUUCACAAAUGUUACUGUAACACUGUAUUUUUCAUGAUGGGGAUAUGAUUUUAAUCUUGGCUCUAGCUUAAGUCUAUAGGCAAAUGGCUUAGCUUCUCUAUUCUGGUUUCUCAAUCACUCAGUCACAGAGUAUUAAGAGCCCACGACAAGUAGACAAGGAGCCUGAAAACAGGAACAUUCAAGGUAAUGGUCAAUGGGCAUGGACAGUACCCUCGGGGUUCAUGACACUGCAUGACCUUAUCAUGGAGCAGAUGGGCCUUUUGGUAGCUGACCAAUUAGACUGUCAUGGGUGGAGUCAGAAGUCUACCUACAGCAAGGUGCUACAGUGAAGUUCCCGUGUCAGAAGCUAGAAGAGCACUGUCCAUGUAAACGCUGGGAACAAAAGAGAGUUAGCAAUUGGGAAAUCUUUAGAAGUAAGGGGCUGAAAAGUACUCCUUCGAUUCAGACCUGUUGCUUUUGAGAGCCCCCAAGGCAAGGAUUCUGAGCUCUUAGCCAGUUCCUGGGCUCUGACUACCUCAGAGAUGGAGCUUUAUACAAAUGAAGGCUCUAUGCACUCCUCUCCCCUGUGGGUCACAGAAAUCUAGAAGGAUUGCUGGUUUGAGUGUGUCUCCUUCCAUGAGGCUGUGUUGGUAGGGUCUAAUCAGGAUGUCAGCACUUCAGAGGCGAGUCACUGGGUCUUUCAGGAAGGACAGGAAAGCACAGGGUGAACACACCAGACGAGCCAAACCAUAUUUCAAGGGCCCAGCAGACAGGAACUACCUAUGAAACUCUCAAACCAGACACCCAAAAGCCACCAAAAAAAACAAACCAAACCCACUGCUGUUGAGUCAAUUCUGACUCAUAGCGACCCUAUAGGGCAGAGUAGAACUGCCCCAUAGGGUUUCCAAGGAGCAUCUGGUGGAUUCGAACUGCCGACCUUUUGGUUAGCAGCCAUAGCACUUAACCGCUAUGCCACCAGGGUUUCCCCAGCAGCCACUGCCUCCGAGAAAUGAGGAAGAAAACCGACUCUUGGCCACAGCAAGGAACUAACACACCAUGUUUCCCUGGAACAGAGAAGCUGUCAUGGGAUGUGUCAGCAUCAGGCUGCGCUGAUGAAAAUGCUGGGGAAGCAAGUAAAGAUGGACAUGAUUGUGGAGACUGAGGGAGACAAAUGGGAAAAACUUCUAGUCGCUGGAGGACUCCUUGGCCACUGGUCACUGCUUUUGGGUGAAUCAAAGUCCUUGCUGUCAGUUCAGAGCAUCACAGAGCACUGGCCACUUGCUGGCUAGGCCUGGAGCUACACAUCGAGGCUGCAAGUUCAUAAAAUGCCCAGUCCCUAUUAAUAUUAUUAUAUCUACCUUUAUACUAAACGUAGGUCAUUUGUCAUGUACUACAUUACAUGCUUUACAUGAGUUUUUCCUUUAAUCCUCAUAACUAUCUCAUGCCCCUGUUGGGAAGAUGAGGAAAUGGGGGCUUAGAGAGUUGGGCUGCAUGCUCAGGUUCACACGGCAGGUGAGAAACAUGAGAGGAAGCAGCCAGAGGAUAUCUGGGAAGGUCAAGAGCAGAAGAGAGAAGUAUGUGGGGACAUGCACGGAAAAAGUGGGAGGCAGAGCUGAGGUGAGGGUCCAUAGGUAAUGGGCAAGUGAAUGGGUAGGUAAAAGUAGACUGCAAAGGCCUCAGAAGAAAGGUGAGAAAAAUGUUGGACCUGAUUCUGCAGUGACGUAGUGAGACUAUACUCUGGUUGUAGAGUUGAGAAAGGGACUGAGGUAUCUGAUUGUGGAGGUAGGAAGGCUGGGGUGGCGGGGGAGGCCAUCCAGGUAAGAUGCUGGAGGGUGGGACUAAGCAGUAGCAAUGGGGUUGGAGAAAAGCAGACCAGCCCAGAGAAGUUGAGCUUAACAAGGAAGGAUCAGCAGGACUUGGUGACUAUGUAUACGUGGUGGGGAAGGAAAUACUCAAGAUCACACCUCUGCUUCUUGCUUGGAAACAUUCACAGAAAUAGCGAGAGUGGAGAGAAGAGUGGGUAUAGCAGGGCAAGAUUCAAUCAAGCGCCUGAUACGUGGAGACAGAAUUCCUAAAACCAGGGAGCCAAAAGUCUAGGGAGGAGAUAAACCUACUCAAACAGCUACAAACCCAUGGGAAGUUAGAUUUGGACUAGGAGACUAUACUCUGUUGUUCAGCCUCUAACAAUGGGGAAGAGUUUAGGAGUCAAUGACUUUACACAACAUAAAACACCCACACAACACAUGAGCUAUACUGGGCUAAUGAGGAACAUGCAACAGCAGGAUAGAGUAGUCUCAGAGGCUUUCCAACGGUGGGUGACAACGGCGUAUUACUCAUUUUCCCCAAAAGAGAAACAGUUCUGACGUUGACCAUGCAAGGGGACUUCUGUGAAAGAACCCCAGGGAAAUAAACCAGGCCAUGAAGCAAAGUCCCUCAGGGAGGGACGAAGCACUGAGAAAUACCUUGCCUGCUCCUGGGCCAGUGCGUUCUGCCCUCAUACACUUCCUUCCCUUUCAUUUCUCAGUUCGAUUCAGCUCUAGCCAGGGCAGGAAGCCAAUAAAGAUGACAUCAGGAAGAAAGGAGGGAUAGAAACAAGGAGGUAGGAACAUAUUUUUUCCAACAGGUGGACAGACACCUUUCUGGGCCAAGAAGUCCUAGAGCUCUGCAGGACUCUCUUCUACAUCUCUCAUCAGCUUUUCUCUUUUCUUUCCAUUUUCUGUCCUUCUCAUUCUUCUUUUUCCUUUCCUGUGAUGCCUUUAAACUAGUCGGUAUGCUGUCUGUGUGAUGGCUGCUGGGCUAGUUCUCAGGGAUGAUUCUUAGCCAGGAGAUUGAGGAGGGAAACAGAAAGGGAGGGCAGUGGGGAGGGAGGGGGGGAAAAAACAAAAAGGAGGGCGCGGAGAGGCGGAGGCAGGAUGGGGAGAGAGAAACAGAUGCGCUAGUAGAACUUAAGGAGCCCACCAUGUGUCUCAGGGAGGUGGCCAGGCUGUUUCACAGCAAGGGGAUGAGUGAUGCAGGAACCAGGAGUCCACAUGAAGCCCAUCCAUGCCUUCUGUUAAAAGCAUACGUGCUGAUGCAUGAAAGCCUGGGUCCAACAUCUCUGAAAAAUCACUAUUUUGCCCAGAAUAGGUUACUAGCUGCUCUACGGUCUCCCCCCCGCCGCCCCCAAUUUUUUCUUUUUAACUGAAGUCCUCAAGAUUAUACUCACUUGAUUUUCUUACCCCAAAUAUACAUAUUUUUAAACAAAUGACAGUUGUUAUAGUAAUUUCCAUAUAACUUCUCAAAAUCUGGGUUGGCUAGCAGUUUACACAUCCAGAAGUCAUUUUGGAAGCCAAGACGGUAAAGAAAGAUUCCGAAAGGUUUCUAGCACGCAAACAGAUCACAUCUUGGUGAUAGCAUAUAUUCCUAAUUGCAGUUAGCAAAGACAUGAUGUAUAAGAAAGCGGGCUAAAUCAUUUGGGAGAUGGAAGGAGGUUUUUCUAGCAUCAACAUUGUAAUGCCUGAAGGACACUGGCAAGCCCAGUGGUUACUGAGAGAAUCCCAAUAUCCUGGUCAAGGGCAAAGUGAAUUUGGAACUAAUUCAAAACUUUCAAGAUUCACACUACCAGAGUGCAGAAACAGAGAAAAUGCAAGCCAGAGAAGGCAUAUGAAAAGGAGCUGGGAUAUGGGAAUUCAGGUGUUGAAGGUGAAAAGGGCUGGAGGGACUAAGCCGGAAGAGAGGAGGAAGGGGGUCUAGGUGAGUGGACUUCUGCUAGGCUGCAAUGUGAGCAUGGCACGCAGCCCAGUGGGUACAAAAGCCCAGAAAGCAGCUGAGGAAGAGUCCAGGGACAGGAACCACCACCAUGUCAGAAAGCUCAUGCAACACUGCUGUCUCUGGGAGGGCUGGAAAGUCAAUUCCUCAAAUUCUCAUUUGUGCCUCCUACGUGCAGGCCUGUUGCUAAGCACUAGGGCAUCUGAAAUAACACAGCCAGCCUCUUGGGCCUCAGUGAAGGCUGCACCUACUUCUCUAAAUCUUUCCUGGCUCAUAGUCACUCACCCAUUUUCCCCAGACAUCUUUCUUCUAUCGAACUGGUCUUAGUGUUCUAGGGACCAUACAUCAGGGUUUGGAUGCAUUCUGUGUGGAAGUUCAAGUCUCCUAGGAUUAUGGCACACAUUGGGAAAGAAAGGAAGCUUGGAGACCAGGAGGUAACAUAACACCUCAUUGAAGGAGAAAGUCAAGCCGACCCAGGUGAAGAUCGUGAAGAAGAGGGUGGGAAGGGAAAGCUGAAGGAUGGUGUGCAGCACACAGGGGUAAGAGAGUAGGAAUAUGCCUGAGAGACAGCUUGGGGGUGUGGGGACUGUGUGGAAGCCUGGCCUGUGCUGGAGAGGGCUGUGCUGAUGAGAGAAGCUCAGGAAACGGGGGUUUCAGUUAAGGCAGAGCGGGUGGGUGUAGGGGGGACUGGCAGAUCACGGAGUGGGAGGUCCUGAGGAGACAGCUGAGGGGUCGACUAUUGUCAUAACCCUUUAGAUGAUUCUCUCGUGACCUCAACUCCGAGUGUUUACAUUUGAGAUGAUCUUAAAGGCUGGGUUUUUCAGCCUCCAUUACACAGGCAAUUCCCUCUGCUUGGAACUUCUCUGACCUACUUUCCUUGCUCUACAUCUCCUUGUUGAAAUCCCAACUAUGAUUCAAGAUUCAGCUCAAGCUCCAUCUCCUCCAUGAGGCUCUGCCUGACCCCCCACCCCACCAAUAAGGUUUUUACUAACUUGGUAGCUCUCAUGCUUUUACAAGUACCUUGCCUUAAUGUGAGUCUCUUUUAUGCUUGUCUUAUUUUGCCUGAAUCGGCUCUACGGCACUGGGUAUUUUUUUUUGGUUAUUUUGCCUACUGAACUGUAAGCACUUCUAGGGGAUAGGGCUGUGUCUCACUCAUCUCUGUAUCCCUCCUGCCAUCUGAUCCACGCACAGGAGAUGCCCCGUGCUUGUUAAAUUAAGCUGAUCCUUUGGAUCUUGGGAAAAUUGAACAAGAAUACUUUUCCAGCACCCAUUUCAAUCUAAAUUGUUCGAUACAGAUUUAUUGCUCUACAUAUUCCUUGGCAAGAGGUUUUCAACGGUAAGAAUCUUUCAGUAGGCGUAACAGGCAGCUGUACCAAGAACCCAGUGACGCACCUUCAGGUUUGACCUCUGCCGUGUUCCUAAACAGUACUCCCCUGGAAUUCCAUGCUGGACUGAUGACCCAGGCCCAGAAACAAUGGGACAGAGAAAUUUAAGAAUAAAGGGUGAUUCUGACAGCAAUCCAAAGGCCUCUGUCUGGGCCUCAUCUCUUUUAGAACUAAGCAGAGAAUAUACGAUGGAUAUGCUGGCACUACACUAACUUUUCUGGGACUGCAAUAUAUCAGACGUCAAAUAUUCCAGACACUUAAGCCUUACUAGAGGCUCUGUGGCCCAGAGUGUGCUUCCCUUUUAAUGAAAUAAAGUACCUUUAUGAUCUCAUCCCCUUGGGCUCUCGAUGGAGAUGGUGCUUAGGAUGAAGUAUUUUAGAUGCAAAAUGUCUCAAGACUCCCCUAUGCUUCACAGAUGAAAACUGUGAUGUUCAUACCCAAACUUAAUUAAAAUGCCCUCAAGUUUUCUUUCAUUUUGUAGCAAACAGUCUAGUUCAUUCAUAGCCCUCAUGCCCUAAACUGCUCAAGAGGGAGAUUGUAGAAACUCUUAGGAUAACUCACACUUACUUUUCUAUUCAUAGAGAGGAAAAAACAGUCAAAAGCUGGGAUUAUCUAAAGGCCAAGUUUUGCAAGAUUUGUGAAGAGGGCUUGCCAGAGGUGCUUUCUUAGGAAACAGAGGACAUCUGUGCAACCAGGCUUGGUGGGGAGGGGGUGAGGCGGUGUUUUAGCCUUUCUGUAGCACUUGCAGGUUUGCUGAGAGCUCUAAAAAGUUGUUGAGCUCUAGCACCCAAUGAGACAAGGUAUUUCAAGGCCCUCACAACAGGAAGGACUGUCUUAACCCUGGGCAUUUCCAAAGGUGGAAACCAGCAAAAUCAAACUGGGAACACGGGUUUGGAUAAGUCUUUAAAAGUCACCUGGUUCAAUCUCAUCCCCUAUAGAGGGGGAGAGAAAAGCCCACAUAGGCUGAGCCAUUUGUCUGAGUAAUCAUGCAUAGAAUUAAAAAGGCGGCCAAGACUAGAAUCUGGAACUCUUAUCACUAAAGUAAUAAAGAACAAGAACCAUAAUAAUAUACUUUCUAAGCUUACUAUAAGCUUGAAAGGUUCAUAUUAUUUCAUAUAAUCCUCACAAUCACUCUGUGAGGCCAGGAAAAGAGAACCCCAAAGAAAUGAAAUUGAGGCCUAGGAAGGAUAAGGGAAUUAGCUAAGGUCAAACAGAUUUUGAGUGAUAUCCGAACUCAGCUCCAUUCCAAAGGUCUUUCCACUGCUGCUCAGUUUCAUUUUAACAGAUUAAAGGGAGAAUGGUGGCUGUUUUAGGUUCUUCAGUGUAAACUCCAGUGCAAGAUAACAGACCAGCACUGUGCCUCCUGAAGUGUUACUACCCCCUAUGGGGGUGCAGUUGUUAAGUGCUGGCUGCUAACUGAAAGGUUGGCAGUUCGAACCCACCCAGUGGCUCUGCAGGAUAAAAGACCUGGCCAUCUGCUCCUGUAAAGAUUCCAGCCUAGAAAACCCUAUGGGGCAGUUCUACUCUGUCACAUGGGGUCGCUAUGAGUGGGAAUCGACCUGACGGCACGGCACCCACAAACAACAACAGCAAAGCCUUAGUAGUAAACUGUUUACAAAAGUGGUUGCAACUCUUCCCCUUCCUAUAUCCUUUGCAACAUGAUUUAGCAGCAACAUCCAUCAAGAGAUGGAGUCUCCUUCCCCAUUCCCUGAAUCUGGGCUGGCUCUGUGAGUUAACCAAGAGAAUGCACUGGAAGUGACGAGGUGCCAAUUCUGAGCGCAGGCCUUGACUUUCGUUUGUUUUCCUGGAACUCUGCCAGCUGCAUGUGUGCAAGCCCUGGCUAGCCUGAUGGAGGCUGACAGACCACAUGCUUCACAGCCAGAUUGGUCCGGCUGUCCCAGCUGAGGUCCCAGAGAUGUGAGCAAGCCUAGUCAGAAUCAGCCGUGCCUAGACCAGAUCGGUACAAUCACCCUAGUAAUCUCUAUCCUGAGCAAUGAUAAAUUGUCAUUGUUGUUUUAAGCCACAAAGUUUUGGGGUGACUUGUUAUGCAGCAAAAGGUAACUGAUACAGCCCUCAAACUCAAAGUCCAUCAAGUACGUGGUAAAGCUCGCUUUCCUUGGUCUUACUUCCUAUGUGAGGAUCUUUCCUUUUAAAUACAGAACACUUACAGAGCUGAGCUAAAGCUCAAUGUGGGAUGAGAAUAAAAAGGCCAAAACAUCUCUGCCAGUUUAUGUUAUAAUGAUAAUGCUCCAAACGUGGCUGCUAACUUUUGCCCAUCUCUACCCCUCUCCACUGGAUAAUCCACGGUCCUUAAGGCCACAGACAACCAACCAUACAUGCCUUUCCCAUCUAGGUGCCGGGAUCCUGCAGGAGAGAACCAGCGAGGAGCAGCACACACCAUCGGGAGGUACAGGUGUUGCAGGAAGGCUGCCCUGACUGCCACGCCGCUCUGUCCCUGUGUGCUCAGGGGAGAAGGGUCAGUGCCUCCCACUCUCGAGCAGAAGGAGCACUCUGGGUUUGUGGGGCUCUGGCCGAAGCUUUUACAGAGACCACAGGAGAGGUCAGCUUAUCAGGCUUUUAAAAAUUUUGUUUUUUAAAAAUGGUCACCAGUAUUGAGAAAUCACAGCUCCCAGAAGUGUCUGAGUACCUGCGGUCCUAUCUUUUAUGAAACAAUGAGGCCCCUGAUUUGGUUCUGGCCUAAUGUAGGAAUAAAACAUAACACCAGUUCAUGUUACAAAAUGUGCUUCCUUAAAAUAGCUCAACUAAAGCUUACUGUGUUUGUUUUUCUUCUCUGGGAGAGGUGGUGGUUUUUCUGGGUCACCCGUUGAAUCUGGAACAGUGAAAUCACCCACAAACUCGACAGGGGCCGGGGACCCUCCUUGCUGAAAGGGGAGAAUGGCAGCAAAGGGUGUGAAGGGGAUGGACUGGACUGAGGCUGGCAUCUGCAGGUCAUCCUCGGAGAUGUUGUCAUACUGCGAGGGGUGCCGCUCGUAGGAUACCCUGCGGCCAGAGCUGUCCGUGGUCUGGGAGGCUGCACUCCGGCGCUUCUUCUCUGGGAGAGCAGGCGGUGUGUCUGUCUGCUGCCCCAGGGCCAAGGGCCCCUCUGGCUGUGGACAGCUGCCAAGAGGCAGCUGGAAAGGAUGGCCAAGAAAUGGAGACCCAGACUCCCCCAAGGACUCUGGCAAUGGGCUAAGGUUACAGGCCACUUGCUGAGGUAUCUGGUCUGCGUUAGAGAGGUCUUGCUGGAGGAAUUCAUAGUCAGGGUCAUAGUGAUCUGCAUUCACAACAGGGGAAAAAAACAUCUGUUACCACAAGGUCCCACAGAAAGAAACAACCUCACUCUUCUUCCCUUUUCCAGUCUUGUUCAGUACAGCACGGCGAACACAUGUCCUUGGUCUCAUCCGUACAGGGGUCUCACCUUACUGUAUAUUCUUCAUCAUUUUUCCCUGACUAUAAAAGUAAAACACAGGACAAUACCACUGUUUGCUCUACUAUUCUUUGUAUUUUUCUAAUUUCUUACUUAAAAACACAUGGCCAUUGUAGAAAAUAUGGAAAGCAAGCUAUAUCAAGAAAAUAAAAAUCACCCAUAAUCCCAUAAUCUAAUUACAAUCACAGCCUGCAUUUUGAUGUAUUUCUUUAAAGUCUUUUUUUCUAGGACUUUUUUUCCAUUUAUUUAUAUAUCACAAGUGAUUUUUAAUAGCUACGUAUUAUUUCACCAAAUGAAUGUAUUAUAUAAUUCAUCCAAUUUCCCACCAAUGAGUAUUUCAAGUGUUUCUAGUAUUUUACUACUCCUAAUAAUGCUGAGAUUAACCUCCUUGGACAGAAAUCUUGUCACAAAUCUCUCAUUAUGUUGUUAGAAUAAAUUCUUAUUGGUGUAAUACCUAGUUCCAGGGAUAUUACAGCUUUGUGCUCUUUAAACCUAUUGUCAAACUACCUUUCCUACAGUCACGCAAACAUAGCAGCACAAAUUCAGCACCUAUGAGAUGUUACCACAUGCUGCCAGCUUGCCUUUAACUUCCAGCAAAUAUUGUCAGGGGCUGUCCCCCUUUGUCUCCAGCUCUGAGCACAGACGGCUCUUAAUUUUGGUAAAGAGAGUCAAAUUGCACACUGACAGGUUAACAGUAACAAUAGCUACCAUUUGAGUACUAUGUGGUUUCACAUUGUUACUUCAGGUAAACUUUCAACCUCUUUGAGACGUAGAUAUUGUUAUCCUCAUUUUGUAGAUGAGGAAACUGAGGCUCAGCUUUUAAAUGACUUUACCAAGGUCAUAAAGCCCAUGACUGGCCUACCUGGGAUUUGAACCCAGGACAGCAUGACCCCAAAGAAACCAUCGAGAAAUAAUGAGACAGAAUGAGGACGUCUGCCCAAGCAGAGUGGGGUGUGAGAGGCCUAUAGCUCACCUAGUGUUUCACAGCUUGUGUUCCGGGAGCACUGCCCACUGUCCCUGUCCAGAGAGGACAGCUGCUCGUCCGACUUGCUGAGCUUGCCUAUGCUGCUGCAGGGGGAAAGGCGAGGGGACUCUCCACCGUAUGAGUGGCUGCCUCCUGACAGGCGUCUCUGUGUGUAACAGUCAACGUCAAAAUCCUCAGGUGGAAAAAUAAACAAACAAACCCAGUCACUUCUGAGAAGUGGUGGCAGAAAACAGGGAAGAGGGAAUUGGUACAUUAACUUAGAGAAGGAAACGCUACCAAGCUCGGAAACCUAUUGGAAACUCCCAUCUUUGAUGUAAGCGAUAGAACAAUGUAUCUGUGACUAAAGUGAAAGAAGCCUUUAGAAAUUCUGAGGGUGCACGGCAAGACAAGUUCCUUAGGCUGGACUCAGCUGUCCUCAGGAAAUGCCCCUUUGAAUCCAGUCUCCUUUCCCCACUCCCCAUAUGGGAACUUCUACCAUGUCUUGGAGAGAGAAGGAUGACUAAGAAGACUUCAACCUCUCCAAUAGUGAUCCUCUCAUUCUGACUAACAGCAGGGUCUGAAGACCACUUGGUUUCUUGCAGCUUUAGGAACCAAAUCCCAGAACUCAAACUCUUCCUGUGCCUUUUCAGACAGGGCUGCAUUACCUGCCUAUUAAUUCCUACAGGCAAACUGGAGCCACUGGUAGCUCGGCUCAUGGGGGCCACUACAGCCACUCGGGUAGGGGAUGGAGCCGACUGUCUUUUCUUGGGUGGCAAUGCUGGUGGAGGGCUGAAACAGACAAACAACGCCAAUCAAAUCAAACAACUCAAACAAAAAUUUCUUUACAAAGAUAUUAGGUUAUAGAAUGUGGAAUUCCUUCAUUAUUAAACUCUCGCACACCUAGUUUCCAUUCUUUCAACUCUUGCCCCGCUCCCUUUCCGCUAAAAUCAAGUCUCCAAUGGCAAGAAAAAAAAAAAAUCUAAAAUAAGAAAAAACCCUUUUUUCCCCUUUAAUAGAAUACAUUGUACCAGUUUUCACUUGGCUAAGGCUAAGGCUAAAAGGCAAGGGCAAUAAGACUUUAGGUCAAACUUUCAAAGCUUCUAAAGAGCAAGGGAUUGAGCUCUCAGUUCUUAUCCUAACCAUCUUCUCGUUUUGCUCACUCUACCUCUUCAUUCAUCAAAUUAUAUCAUAAAUAGUUGGCAGUGGGGGUAGGUGCCAGAAAAACAGAAAUUAGUGUGAUAGCAUCGUUACCUAUUAUCAACCACCCGGAUGCCAGGUAAAGGGGGCUUGGGAGGUGCGACCUCUUCAUCCAUGGAGUCUGGGAGCAGCUCAGUCGACUGCGACAUCCCAGUUGUCUUGUUUAGAAUCUCCAUCUCUCGAUCUGUCAGGGGGAGCUCAGACUGGCUGAAGAAUGUAAAAGAAGCUGGGGUUACAGGAGGUCCUGAAAGGGUUAUAAUGAAUGGGACCAGAGCAAGGGGAUGAUGGGGGUGGGGACAGGCUGUGGAGCAGGAGCUCUCAGUACAACAGCACUGGACUUCAGCUCAGACGAAGUUUCAAAUCUGGUUUGAUCCCUAAUGGGAUUUUGGCCAAGUGCCCCACUCUCUGCAUGUCAGCUUCCUCAUCUGUAAAAGGAAUCUUUAGACUGAAUGACCUAAAAAAAGCCUCCCUAAAAUGCUCCAAAUUUAUGUUUCACAUUUUUACUAGGGGCUUGUAGUAGAAAUUAUUGCCAUACAUUAAAAUGGUCCAUUGCUACCCUCGGUUUAUUUUCUUGGUAAAGAUAAUAUUAUAAAAACUUAAAUGCUCACAAGCCAAAUCUCCAAAAUGCAACCCUAAAAGGGUCUCUCGAAUUAUGAAAUGAAGUUGGUCAGGAAAGCACUGGUGCGUGUCACUGUACGCCCUCACACACUGACCUCAGAAAGACGCAUAUUCAGUAUUUAAGCUUGGAACAGGCAAUACUCCAAAAUGUGUGUGAAGUAUACACAUUUUAAAGUAACACAGACCCUCAUCCAGAACUUCUUAUUGAAAGAGGAAGUACAGGCCCCACACAGUCUACCCAACGUGGGCUACCCGAUUUGGCUCGCAUUCUUUCUCAGGUGUAGACUUUGCAACUGAAUACAGCAGUGACCAGAAGGGUUCGUCAGCACUCACCUGUCAGGUUUGCAGGCCGGGGAGCUGGGCUUCACUGGGCUUGUUGGAGAUGGAUGCCCCUGCUUCUCGAUGGUAAGUCUGACCAGCUCCUACACCCCACACAAAAGAAGAGCAAUGAGGCACAGGAAAGUUGCUUUUCAUCGCUGAUUUUUCACAACAAGGUAGGUCAGUUGUCUGUCCUCCACUGCUGCAUCUCGUUUUUGUGCCUACAGAUUCCCCACACACCAUAAAUGCAAGUGUUAUUUGACUUAGGUACUCUGCAUGACUUCCCAAAAUGUCCCCUACCCUCCAAAAAUACCUUCAUAGCAUGCUAGACAUUUCAGAUGCACAAAGGCACUUCCUCUUGGAAGGGGGAAAUGAAAAAUCCCACUGUCUCAAAAUGACUAAGUUUUUCACACAAACUAAAUUCCCAGUAGAAUAAAUUUCCAGUCACUUUGUGGGGGAAGGACUACUUUUCAGUUUCCUAACGCCACUAUAUUGUAUGCAUGAUGAUGUCCAAUAAUGAUGAAAUCUCUGGCUUCAGGAAGGGGUGGUUUCCCAAAGUGAGCUGGUCACAGGGGUGUGGUGGCAGCUGGUACCCCACGAUGAACUGGUUGAGGAUCUCUGUCAAUGAACGGAAAGUUAAAAACAUUUUACCCAGCAGAAGAUGUGUCUUUAGAAUCACUAAAAUACCAGGGGUAAAUGAAUAAAGGAGUAAAAUACAAAGAAGGAAAAGCAAGCAUUUUCAAAUCACAGGUGUAAAAAAAAAAAUGAAGUGGUCAGGGCCUAUUUGUUAUUUUGUUCAGUUAGAAUGCAUUUUUCCAGUUUAAUGAGUUUUGACAAUUGCAUAUACCCAUGUAACCACUACCCAAAAAAUACAAACACUUCAGUCACCCUGUCCAGUCAAUCUGCUCCAACUCAAUCAUUUUUUAACUUCUAAUUUUUUUUUUGUCUGAAGAGCACUUUUACAUCUGUCUUCUUUUCUUAAAUAGCUUUAUCGAUACACAAUUCACAUGCCAUAAGAAAUCACUCACUUAAAGUAUACACGUCAAUGGUUUUUAGUAUGCCCAGAGUUGUGUCACCAUCAAUAUAAUCAAUUUUAGAAUACUUCCUUCUCUCCAAAAAGAAGCCCUGUAUCCAUUAGCAGUCACCCUCAUUUAUCCCCAGCCACCAAGUCCUUUUGCUCCUUUUCGUUGCUAAGUAGUUUUCCAACGUAUGUACACUCACGAUUCAUCUAUUCUCCUGUGGAUGGACGUCUGGAUAGGACCUACUUGUGUUUGAGGAGCCUUUCAGCAUAAACACCUAUUUCUACAGUUACAGAAGAGGCAGCAAUGGAUGCAAGUGGGUAAUAUAGAAGCAUGUUCCUAAAUCAGAGACUGCAAAGUCUGUUAAAACUCAAAAAACGUACACACAAAAAAUGCAAAACAUGUGACAGGCAAAGGGCAAGGGCUGUUUAAAAAAAAAAAAAACAAACUCAAAACUAGAAAAAAGAUGAACACACCAAAUGAAAUAUCAAAGAAGAAAUUCACAAAUGUAAAUACCAAUUAUCAAUAAGCAUACCAGCUUCCCCAGCUCCCCCAGCUCUGCUGAUAAUAAGAUAGAAUCUUCCAGACACAGUGGGUGAGAGUAACGUUUCAGGCAGUCUUUCCAGAGGAUGACUCGUCAGCAUAUACAAAAGCAUUCAAUAUUUGCAUUCUACUUGUAAGAACUUGUGCCCAAGGAAAUGUCAUGAAUGGGUACAAAAAUUAAGCCACAAAGGAUGGUCAUCAAAGCAUUAUUUAUGAUAGAUAAAAUUAGACUAUUCAAUGUUCCAUAAUUAAAUAUUCAACAAUAAGGACUGAUUGCAUAAAUGAAAAGAGCCAAACAAUGAGUGCAUCAUUACAUGGCUAUUAAAAACAAAGCUGGAAUAAGAACAUGUAAUCACAUGGAAUGAUGAUCUUACUACAACGUUAAGUGAAAAAAUGACCCCAGGAGGUACAUUGGUAUAUAUAGUAUGAAUCUAUUUUUGGACAUAAAACCAAGAAUACAUGUAUAGAACAAAAAACAUGUUUAUUAAACACCCCUUAUAUUCUUGUUAUUGUUUAUUUAUAUUUUCUAAAUUUUCUACAAUGAACAUGUAUUACUUCUGAAAUACUAAAAAAAAAAAGACAAAAACGAAAACCAAAGAGCUAAAAGCAUGUA